Molecule: ribosomal RNA, 402 nt
Filed under: bacterium
Lineage: Bacteria
Description: partial 16S ribosomal RNA
Rfam family: Bacterial small subunit ribosomal RNA
Source: RNAcentral
UGGGGAAUUUUGCACAAUGGGGGAAACCCUGAUGCAGCGACGCCGCGUGAUUUAGAAGGCCUUCGGGUUGUAAAAAUCUUUUCUAUGGGAAGAAAAUGACAGUACCAUAGGAAUAAGGACCGGCUAAUUACGUGCCAGCAGCCGCGGUAAUACGUAAGGUCCGAGCGUUGUCCGGAAUCAUUGGGCGUAAAGGGUACGUAGGCGGGUAAGCAAGUUAGAAGCGAAAUCCUAUAGCUCAACUAUAGUAAGCUUUUAAAACUGCUCAUCUUGAGGUAUGGAAGGGAAAGUGGAAUUCCUAGUGUAGCGGUGAAAUGCGCAGAUAUUAGGAGGAAUACCGGUGGCGAAGGCGACUUUCUGGCCAUAACCUGACGCUGAGGUACGAAAGCGUGGGUAGCAAACAGG